Molecule: Y RNA, 102 nt
Filed under: Microcebus murinus (gray mouse lemur)
Lineage: Eukaryota; Metazoa; Chordata; Mammalia; Primates; Cheirogaleidae
Description: Y RNA (ENSMICG00000046328.1)
Rfam family: Y RNA
About the family: Y RNAs are components of the Ro ribonucleoprotein particle (Ro RNP), in association with Ro60 and La proteins.
Source: RNAcentral
GGUUGGUCCAAGUGCAGUGGUGUUUACAACUAAUUGAUCACAACCAGUUACAGAUUCCUUUGUUCCUUCUCCACUCCCACUGCUCCACUUGACCAAAUAAAA